UGUGACAGUGACCAUGGGGGUCUGGAGCCUCCCGUGUCCAUGGGGGUGUGACAGGGACCGUGGGGGUCUGGAACCUCCCGUGUCCAUGGAGGUGUGACAGGGACCGUGGGGGUCUGGAGCCCCCCUGUCUGUAGGGAUGUGACAGGGACUGUGGGGGUCUGGAGCCCUCUUGUCAGUUGGGUCUGACAAGGAUCCCGAGGGUCAGGAGACCUCCCUGUCCAUGGGGUCUGAUGGACACGUGGGGUUCAACCAGGACCAUGGGGGUCUGGAGCUCUCCUGUCAGUGGGGUCUGACUAGGACUGUGGGGGUUUGGAGCCUUCCUGUCUAUGGGAUCUGACCAGGACUGUGGGGUUCUGGAGUCCUCUUGUCCACGGGGGUCUGACAGGGACCAUGGGGAUCUGGAGCCCUCCCUGUUUGUGGGGUCUGACAGGAACCAUGGGGGUCUGGAACUCUCUCUGUCCACACGAGUCUGAUGAGGGGAACAUGGGGGUCUGGAGCCCUCCUGUCCAGGGUGUUUGACAGGGAUACUGAGAGUCUGGAGCCCUCCCUGUCCAUGGGGUCUGACAGGGGACAGUGGGGGUCUGGAGCCCUCCUGCUCCGGGGGGGUCUGACUGCGCCUGGGUUUGGCUACCAGCCCAAGGGGACCUGAAGCACCCUUGCCCAGGGGAGGUGACCAGGACCCUCUUGCCAUAGUCUUUCUCACUGUGAGCGUCCAUUCUGCCCCGGCCCCAUUAAACCUCCUGAGGGGCCUGUCGCUGGCUCUCAGCUCUGUCAUGGCCGAGCUGUGACAGCCUGUCCCUGGCUGGCUCUGGCCUCCGGAGAGGGAGGUGUUUCUCUCCGGAGGAGAGCUGUUUAUGCCCAGUGAUUUUUUUUUUUUUGGUUAUUUUUUUAUUUUUUUUUCACCUCCCUCUGUGCUCUCCUGCACAAACCACGGCAGCAGCUCCAUGUCUGCCCAGCCUGGCAGUGCUCCGGCACGACUCUUUAUGUAGGUGAAGCAGGGAGCGCUGUGAGGAUCGUGUUGAGCUAUCAGUCUCCUGAGCCUGGAGCUUUGAGCCUAUUUAUAGGUAGGUUGGGCAGUCUUCAGCAUGAAGGACUCGUGCCACGUCCGAAUCCGUGGCAAAA
Long non-coding RNA from Chiroxiphia lanceolata (lance-tailed manakin), 1122 nucleotides. RefSeq lists it as uncharacterized. The record is from RefSeq and is a predicted model, not a curated record. Lineage: Eukaryota; Metazoa; Chordata; Aves; Passeriformes; Pipridae. The transcript has 2 exons.